AUGGACAAAUCCAUCCCUUUUUCCCGUGCAUAUGCAUCGGACUCGGAUGACGAUGGUCCCGAUGAAGAAGUUGAUGGGGAGGGGUUCACGCCGAAGGAGGCCCAAGAAUUUAAGAAGGUAUUCGGGCGGGAUCACAAGACACCGUUGUUUAAGGAUCUUAGUCUCGCGGAUGAAGCCGUUGUGGAUGGUGAUAAAUGUAUAUCUCUUGGAAGUAGGCCAAGUUCUCACCGUGAUUUGGAAGACGGCAAGAACGGGAUAUUUCCCGGUUGUGAGUUUGAUUCCUUCUUGGAAUUGAAGAUGUGGCUCGACAACUACUCGAUUACGCAUUAUCGUCCACAUAGAGUGGCUAACGACGUCAAUGUGCGUUACACGGUUAAAUGUGAAGUGCCAAGAUGUCCAUAG
Molecule: ribosomal RNA, 402 nt
Filed under: Triticum aestivum (bread wheat)
Lineage: Eukaryota; Viridiplantae; Streptophyta; Magnoliopsida; Poales; Poaceae
Description: partial small subunit ribosomal RNA
Source: RNAcentral